UGCCCUUUCUGAGUGGUUGUAUCAACGAGGGUGCUCACACUCUGCACCCAGAGGUUUGCAAUAAGUCUGGGUCCCACACAGAGCAGCAUGUGGUGGCUCUGGACUUCCUCGUGGAAGAGUUAUUUUUCAGAGAUCUGAGAAAUCUUAAUCUGAGGGGCAGAGGGAACCUCAAAUGCCUAGCCACAGCCUUGUUAACAACUGGCCAUCUCUGGACAUUGUUCUGGAUAUAUCUCACUGAAGAGCUAAGGUGAUAAAGUUCUUGGUUUAAUAGAAUUGUAAAUAAAACAUUACUAGCUCCUGUAGAACAUUGUCCUCGGAUUCAUCCUAUGCUCUUGCAAACCAAGACAUCCAGUGCUGAUCAGGAAUUUAAGAAAUUAUAAUAUCGAGAGGAAUUGUUUUCACAUAAUGGUCACACACAGAAAUGACAUCAAGAGCCAAAAUUUGUCAAAAUUAGUUUGGUCUGGUGAAUUGUGGAUUAGCAAGCAGAGCAACUGGAGAGGCACACACACCACCUUCUGUGGUGGUGAAAAGGGAGGAAUCCUGGACCCUCUUGCCAAAUAGCGGUUGUCCAAGGAACAAAGGAAAAAAAAAUACUUAUUUUCUAAACAGAAUAAAACUCAUUAUAACUUGUAAUUUGCUACAUGGCACCGUUGGGCUUUAAAAAAAUCCAGGACACAUGAUGGAAUCUCUAUGAUCUUAUUUUUCCUCUCUCUUGAACAUUUCUAUUUCAUGAAUUCAGGAAUUACUUCAUUAUGACUCAUCAAUUAUUCCCAACAAUGCUAAAAAUGAGUAAAAUGAUAAGAAAAUAGAAUAAUGAUGGAGUUGCCUGGAAGGAUGAUGCAAUUGCAAAAUAAACCUCCAUUCUCACCAUCAUUCAGUUUUCCUAUUUUUUGACUAAAAUGUUGCAUCGUCAUUCAAGAAUGCAUAAAAGAAGUCUGGAAACAUUCUUAUGAUCUACUUCUAGUUUCAUUGAGCACAGUUUAGAAUUUAGAAGUUCUAUGUUUCAUCCAUAACUGCAAAAAGAAGAAAACGGACAAAGGAAGAUGUUUAGGUUAUUAGAUGAAUCAGAACAAAUGUAAAAAAGAGAGCUAAGUAUGCUAAACUUAAAUGAUUAGGGUGAAAUUGAAAUUAAUUGUUCAAAUGAAAUCUCAGACAAUGGAUUUUCAGAUGACAAUGAAUUUUCUCAAACUCAAGAAUCCAUGAGGGAACAAUUCAUUUCCAAGGACAAAAAUGAAAUAGGAUAUUCUCAUGCAGUUAGUCCUUCAACCAGAAGGACUUUACCAUGAAAUAUUUUGUGGCAAGAACCUAACCUAUCUCAUUUUGUUUUAAGGGUAUAUUAUAAUACUUUUUCAUUUUUUAUAAAGUCUGUGUGCCAAAAUUUAUAGUUUUUAAGUACACAAAUGUUAAAGAAAGGUUAAGGCCAGUAUCAGAAUGAAAUCAAUUAUGUAUAAAUAAAAAAAAAAAAACUCAUUGGAUUCAUCAUUCUAAAUAAUGUUUAAGAAUCUAAAAAUAAAAAUGUCUUGUAGUUAUGGAAUGGAGAUGACAUUGUCUUUUAACGAAAUUACGUGCCUCAAAGAUUUGAAAAAGUUGACUGUUGCAUUUUGAUAACACAAAUUCUAAAUGAACCAGAAGUGAUACUAUGCUAGAACCUAUUAAAGAUGUGUUUGAAAUCUAGAAUUAGUAUCAAUUAGAUGUAUAUAUUGCAGGUUUAUUCAUGAUAUUGAUGGGCAGUUAGUUCCUUUCUGAAGAUGUUUCCAAUCUGGAGUAUAUACAUCUUCAAAAUCAUAAAAUUGAUGAAAUAAACUUUUGGUUUUGCUAUGUUUAAGUUCUUAUCACAAUUUUCAGCCCUUUACUCUUACUUCUGUAAACCAUUUUUUAAAUGAUUUAAAAUAUUAAAAAACACUAAGAGGUCCAAAUGGUAAGUAAAGAUAACUAUUGUUCCUAGUAUACUGAGAUGAGCAUUUACAUUUUCUAAACCUCUAUUGCAUACUUAUCCAUUUAUCCUUAGUUAUAAAGUUAUAUAUGCCAUGUCUUAUCUCUUUUCUGGACUAGCAGCUUGCAGAGGGGAUUCAACAGAUGUUUAUUGCGUUAACAUCAAAACUCCCAGAACUUUUAUUUUGUGAAAAUAAUGAGAUGUUUGGAAUUAAAGUGAGUAUGUUUUCAUGGAGCAGUAUUUUUUGGAGGAAAGUAAAGUAAGGCUGAAUCUUACCUAGUCUUCUACAUUAUAGCCAAUUGAGCUCUGAAAUACAUUAGAUUAAACCAUUAAAUAACAGUGACUAUAAUGCAAUUACAUUUGACCUCUUCUCAGCAGGAUCAAACCAAAAAUGCACAACUGAAGUUCAAGAAAAGGAUCUUAAUAAAAUGAGAGUACUCUUAUUCCUUGAGGCUCUAUUUCUAGCUGUGGACCUAAAAACCCAUAGAAUUGGAAUACAGACUGCCAAAGAAUACCUUAUUAUACUCAGAGAAGAUUUUGAUAGGUAGCUACCUUCAAUUUUAAGAGAGUAAAUGACACAGAAAGGGGAAUAAAUUACCUUAACAUAAAUUCUUGGUUCAAGUAAGUCAGGUAGUAGUUGGAUUUUAAUGGUGGGAUAACUUCUAAGGGAUAAACAUUAACUUGUAUUGAACUUUAAUCAUAAUGGCUUUUUGAUUAUGAUUUUUUUUCAUACAGAGAUGAAAAGCUGAAAAAAAAGUGUUAAAAUGAUGAAGCAAAAGCAUACAAGGCCUAGUUCUUGUACUGGACAUUUAAAUUGAUUUCCUUAUCUACAAUAAAUAUAAAGAGAUGAACACCUUCUAAGAAUCACACAUGCUGGCCAUUUCUCCCCUCCUCAAGGAGCAGUGAUGGAUGUUAUUCAGCUGCUACCUUGUCAUGUUGCCUGUGGAGUGGCAGCAGAGAGAAAAUGCAUUCUGGGUGCAGAAUGUCAACAGAAAGGAAAUUUUAAAAAAUCUCUUAUGAGCAUGGGGCAUGUGUGGUCUGGUACUCUAUGGUUGAUUCCCAUUAGCUAUACUCUCUCUGCCUGCCACAAAUAUGUAGACAGUUGUUAAAAAGAAGAAAAUGAAGGAGGAGGAUGAAAAGGAGAAUGAAAAGGAAGAAUGAGAAUAGCAGUCAGGAGGUUUGAGUUUUUUUUUCCCUCUCCACACUUCUGCCACAGACAGAAAAGCAAAGACUGAUCAUGCCAGCCCUUCUUACCCUUUUUAAACAGAUUAAGAUUGUUCCAUAGAAACUAGAUUAUGUGGUACAUAAGGGUGUGUAGAAGUGUAUGGUAGGCUGGUACAUACCUAUGCAACUUAUUCCCAGUGCUUUAAGUGGAAAUAUAUAAAAUUAAAAGUAACUUCAUGUGAAUGUAUUUGCAUGUUUACUAUAUAAUUUAAAAACUGCCAAUAAAUGUGUCUGCUCCAUGUAAAAAUCUGUUUCCAGUGAAAGACUUGUAGGCCUUUGAUUUACAAAAAACAAAAACAAAAACAAAAAAACAACAAACUAUUUAGAAAUCUAUUUGAAAAGAACUCGAAUUCAUUAAGACUAACUUACACUAAGCAAAUAAAUAAUCCCUUCCCCACAGAAGGGAUCCCCACUAAAUCAUCAAUACAAGAGUCUCAAAAUGAAAGCCACCUCACAAAUAGAUUAUUUAAAAAAUGCUGCAUCUUUGUGUAUCGUGUUCAGUUGAAACCAUAAUGUGAUAAGUUUUUUAUGAAUAAAUGUUCUUAAAUCUUUGCUUAAUUAAAACAAAUAAUGUAUUUAUGUGUCUGGCCAGCUAUCAGAAGUAUAGUUUUGAUUAUUUACUUAAUGAUACAAUUAUUUAAUUGAUGCUAGCUGUCUUAAUGGGGAGUCUUACUUUAGCAAAUGCAUUUACUUAGCUGAUAAAAUCACAUUUGUGUUUUUGUUUCUGACUCUAAGUGAUAUUCGAAUGUCCUUUUAAUAGAUAAAUAGCUCUUUACGUGGAAAUUAAAACAGUAGAUUGAAAAUGAAAAUGGUAUUAGAAUGUUAUCUUUAGUAAUUCUGAUUACUGAUAAGAAUAAAAUACAAUAUAUGUGACCUGGAAAAUAAACCUUAUUUUAAAAUGCUCUAGUGAUGUGUCUAGAGCAUCAAUAAAAUAUGCCACCCCCCCCCAAGAAAAACCAAGGAUACUAAAAAUGGACAUCAAAAAGUUUAUUCAUGUUCCAAGUUGCUAGAUAAAUAUUUUAAUACUCUUAUAUAUAACUGGCAUGAAUUUUUACAUACUGUGUUUAUGGACAAAAAAUAAAAAUAUACUUGGUAUGUUUCAGCUGA
Molecule: long non-coding RNA, 4264 nt
Organism: Felis catus (domestic cat)
Lineage: Eukaryota; Metazoa; Chordata; Mammalia; Carnivora; Felidae
Exons: 6
Source: RefSeq, a predicted model, not a curated record